CCUACGGGGGGCAGCAGUGGGGAAUAUUGGACAAUGGGGGGAACCCUGAUCCAGCCAUGCCGCGUGUGUGAAGAAGGCCCUCGGGUUGUAAAGCACUUUCAGUGAGGAAGAACGCCUGGUGGUUAAUACCCAUCAGGAAAGACAUCACUCACAGAAGAAGCACCGGCUAACUCCGUGCCAGCAGCCGCGGUAAUACGGAGGGUGCGAGCGUUAAUCGGAAUUACUGGGCGUAAAGCGCGCGUAGGUGGCUUGAUAAGCCGGUUGUGAAAGCCCCGGGCUCAACCUGGGAACGGCAUCCGGAACUGUCAAGCUAGAGUGCAGGAGAGGAAGGUAGAAUUCCCGGUGUAGCGGUGAAAUGCGUAGAGAUCGGGAGGAAUACCAGUGGCGAAGGCGGCCUUCUGGACUGACACUGACACUGAGGUGCGAAAGCGUGGGUAGCAAACAGGAUUAGAUCCCCGGUAGUC
RNAcentral lists this ribosomal RNA (464 nucleotides) under Vreelandella stevensii. RNAcentral describes it as "partial 16S ribosomal RNA". It matches the Rfam family "Bacterial small subunit ribosomal RNA", at positions 338 to 795 of the family's 1533-position model. The record is from RNAcentral. Lineage: Bacteria; Pseudomonadati; Pseudomonadota; Gammaproteobacteria; Oceanospirillales; Halomonadaceae.